GUUUGGUUUGAUAGUUUAUUCAUGCCUACUAUCCAAUGUGAUUCGUGUGCUUAUAUGAUUACCUUGAAUGUGAUUUGGAACGACUUCCUAAAUCUCAUUUAUACUCUGGCCAGAGAUUCUUAAUCAUAUCAUAGAGUAUUCUCUCCCAAACGGUUUGAAGGUUAGAGAUCCCUUGUUGUGCAUUCACUUGCCUCCAUGGCUAAAUGGCUUAACCCCGACGAUGCCGUGGACACCCGCGGAUGGGG
RNAcentral lists this long non-coding RNA (245 nucleotides) under Malus domestica (apple). RNAcentral's name for it is "long non-coding RNA (MDOM_LNC019166)". The record is from RNAcentral. Lineage: Eukaryota; Viridiplantae; Streptophyta; Magnoliopsida; Rosales; Rosaceae.